Molecule: non-coding RNA, 72 nt
Organism: Phrynosoma platyrhinos (Desert horned lizard)
Lineage: Eukaryota; Metazoa; Chordata; Lepidosauria; Squamata; Phrynosomatidae
Source: the annotation of a GenBank genome assembly
GGCAGCAUGGCAUAGUGGUUUGAGCAUUGGACUAUGACUCCAGAGACUAGGAUUCGAUUCCCAGCUCAGUCA